UCGCAUAGGUUAGUAUUACCUAUGCGAGCGAAGUAGCAGUAGCA
This 44-nucleotide non-coding RNA is filed under the name unclassified sequences. The record is from Rfam.